GUUGAUUACUCGGGCCCAACCCGGUGAUUCUAGAAAGACGGUUGCAAGAGGGACUCCCAGAGGUUCCGACCACCGCGUGCUCUCCAUUCCCUAACCUUGGUUGGGCCAUUGCACUCACUGGGACUGCCGAGGUCUUUUUCCCUAGUGUGAUGGCAAGUUCCAAAGGGAGACAGAAAGAUAGUUA
Long non-coding RNA from Tribolium castaneum (red flour beetle), 184 nucleotides. RefSeq lists it as uncharacterized. The transcript has 2 exons. Lineage: Eukaryota; Metazoa; Arthropoda; Insecta; Coleoptera; Tenebrionidae. The record is from RefSeq and is a predicted model, not a curated record.